UGCGGGUUAAUUUAAUAGUAAAAUAUUUGGCUCAUGACCAAAAGAUAUAAGUGCAAAUCUUGUAUCCGCAU
Non-coding RNA from Cercophora sp. LCS_1, 71 nucleotides. NCBI's taxonomy places the organism in Eukaryota, Fungi, Ascomycota, Sordariomycetes, Sordariales, Lasiosphaeriaceae. The record is from the annotation of a GenBank genome assembly.